Molecule: small nuclear RNA, 100 nt
Organism: Sarcophilus harrisii (Tasmanian devil)
Lineage: Eukaryota; Metazoa; Chordata; Mammalia; Dasyuromorphia; Dasyuridae
Source: Ensembl
UUUUAGCUAAAAGUAUUCUAAAAAUGAAACAACAGGUUGGAGAUCAGCAUGGCCUCUGCACAAGAAUAACAUGAAAAUUCUUGAAGCAUUCAGUAUUUUU